UUUAAGGGUGGGGACUCAGAUGAGACUGCCGGUGACAACCGGAGGAAGGUGGGACGACGUCAAGUCAUCAUGGCCCUUAUGUCCUGGGCUACACACGUGCUACAAUGGCCGGUACAGAGUGAAGCGAAACCGCGAGGUGAAGCAAACGCAGAAAGCCGGUCUCAGUACGGAUUGGAGUCUGAAACUCGACUUCAUGAAGUUGGAAUCGCUAGUAAUCGCGCAUCAGCCACGGCGCGGUGAAUACGUUCCCGGGCCUU
RNAcentral lists this ribosomal RNA (257 nucleotides) under uncultured Spirochaeta sp. RNAcentral's name for it is "partial 16S ribosomal RNA". It matches the Rfam family "Bacterial small subunit ribosomal RNA", at positions 1124 to 1382 of the family's 1533-position model. Lineage: Bacteria; Pseudomonadati; Spirochaetota; Spirochaetia; Spirochaetales; Spirochaetaceae. The record is from RNAcentral.